RNAcentral lists this long non-coding RNA (663 nucleotides) under Phasianus colchicus (ring-necked pheasant). RNAcentral describes it as "lncRNA (ENSPCLG00000000223.1)". Lineage: Eukaryota; Metazoa; Chordata; Aves; Galliformes; Phasianidae. The record is from RNAcentral.
AUCCUGAGCUUGGAUCAAACCACUCUCUGGACACAAAUUACCACCAGGCCAACACCAGCCAAGUGGACGGAGACUGUACGUCAUGGGGCUCAUCUCCUGCACACAGCACUUUUCUCUAGAGGACCAGACAUCUGGACUGUCCUUUUUGUGAAGUGCCCAAAGUCUGCAAGCAAAACAGAGUGGAAGGGUGUGGAGAGCGAUGUCUGGUCCCACCGCGCUGCACCAGCACUCCUGCAGGAACACUUAGUGCUCAGCUGGCUCCAUCUCCACUGCAGCCUCCACGUUUCUACAGCCCUGCAGGGAGAGCCAGCCACCCGAGCAGCCUGUCUGCCCCUGAAGGAACUUGUAGUGGUGAUACAGAAAAAAGAAGAGGUACUUUUCCCCCAGAGAGCAGUUGAGUUUGAGAGCAGACAGCUCCUUGUCCCAGGAACGUGUUGCUGAUGUGAGCUGUGGACCUCAGGCAGCGGCUGGUCUGGAAGGCGCACGCUGAGGAUUGUUGCUGCUGGAGGGGGAACUGACUCAUCACAUCAUCAAUUCUCCUCCGCCAGCACUGCACAAAACAUCUCGUAUCAUCACGCUCUCUUUCUUCAGCAUUUCUUUUUUAAAUUGAAGGACCUUCAAACUCUGCAGUGCUUUUCGCUCCAGCUGCUGUUGCAGGUUGGG